UAUUUUUCUUCAUUUAAUUAAAUUCCUUUUAUCUCCUGAGCCGUCGCCGCCAGCCUCACACUCUGAGUUCUUAUUAGGCAUUCCUCCGAUCUCCAUCGACUCAGCUCCGUCCAUAACAAGAAGAUGAUAAACGAGGCAGAAGAAGAAGCAAUGUCUCUUUAUAUCAUGACGCAAUAUGAGGACGGCCCGCACUUUGGAUCGUCGUAUGAAUUUAAUUUAUGUAAGCAAGACUCCUUUCGACCUUUAGCACAGUUCAGGGAUGAGGAUGUUAGCCUUCCGUUAAGUUGGAAAUUUUGCUCCUUGGAUACCAACAACAUAUGUCUAUUGCCAGAUAGUUGUCCACCUCCUGAUGAUGUGUUGAACCCCUUGUCUGGAUAUAUGUUCAAUCUUGAUACCAAGAAAUGUCAUUUAAUCAAGCCGCCCGUUGCUCCCAAAUGGGACGGACCUGUUGUAUCUGCAUGUGGGAAACUUUACUCUAUUACGGAUCCAUACUGCUCAUUUGAUGUGCCAGAGCCCUCUUUCGAGCGAUAUGAUCCUUACAGGUGUCGUUGGGAAACUCGGAAAUCUUUUCCUUAUGGUAAACAUUGCUCCAAACAAAGGAUUGGGGGUCAUGCCGUUUGUGAUGGACUCAUCCUGUAUAAUAUAAUCUCUUCUGUUGGACUCAUUCUGGAGGAUAAUCCAUUCUCUUUCUCUAGAAAAUAUCAAGAUGAACUGUGGGCUUAUGAUGUAACACUGGAUGAAUGGCUUCCAGUUAGGGUCGAGAACACAGAUUGCUAUAGUUUCCGAGGACCGGCUGUAUGUGCGGACAAGACUAUCUAUGCGCUAUCAAGCAGCUUGGCUGUUAUGGCACUCUCUAUCACAAGGCAUGAAAAUCUUGUUACCUGCUCUCUAAAGUCACAGUUUGUUUGUCCAGAGUUUGAGGACUUUCGACCAGGCGCACGAAGAAUGGAGCGUUUGAUUUAUUUGGGUGACCUGAACUUUUGUCUUGUUCAGACUGGGUUUCAGUAUGACAUUAGAUCCAGUCAAUCUCUUAAAAUUACCACAUUUCACCUUGUGGGAGAAACCAAUAUCAAAAUCGAACGUUCAUUCGUUUAUGAGGUGCCUCUUGAGGGUUGUAUGAGAUUCACAAUUGGACAUUGCUUUAUCUAAAGAGGUGGCUAGUCGCAUCUGUUAGCGUGAGGAAAACACGGAAACCACAAAACAUGGAAAAGUAAAAGCAACCUGUUUUGUGGAUCUGUCUAUUACCUCCACUGUUAGAAUAGUGUGCACCAUGUAUAUAAUUACCUCUUCUGAAGCAGGCAGCCUUCAUCUUUCCAGAUCGGUGUCACUCCAAAAGACGUCGUCCUUCAUCUGUCCCAAAGAUCGGACUCAUCAUCUGUCACCAGACCAGCCCACCCCAACUCACGACCAGACUAGCUUCAGCAUCCCUCCAGAUCGGCCUCCACUAGAUCGAUCAUUUCUGCCCAGUUGGAUUGCCUGCUACACAGAUCCCACCACCGUCGCCGAACAGCCAAAUCGAUCUUCCGGAUUGAUCAUUCUUCACCGUCAGCUUGUCCAGUUCGUCUUUUUCUUGGACUUCACCACCGUCAUCUUCGGGUCGCGUCACUUCAUCUCAGUCGCACAACCCGUCUUCUGCAACAGAUCCGGCAUCAGACUAGAUCACCGUCGGGUUUGUCGUUGCCUAGACCCGUCAUUCACUUCCUCAACUCAGGCCGACGUUGUUCCUUGGUUUCUUGAGAGAGAAAGAAAGAGGAGAAGAAAAGAAGAGGACGCAGGGUGUGGGACGAAGCAAAAGCCAUAAGCAACAAGUUUAUACCGGUAUUUGCACGCGGCUGCUGCACCUCCUUAGCACUAGAGCACGCCUGCUGCACUUCCAGACCACCCUGCACUUCCAGCACAAAAGAAACAGAAAAGAUGCACUUGUCUUGUACCCACAGUCAAGUGAACCCCUUUUAGUCAUUCUUUAUCCUUUCUCCAUCCAAUACCACGUGACAACCCACUUUCCACCUCCAUUUUUUAAUACCCACACAUCCCUUUUCUUUUACCACCAGAUCAUCCCUACACUUCCUUUUUAUUUUAUAACCCACUUUCCACCUCCAUUUUUUUUUAAUACCCACACAACCCUUUUCUUUUACCACCAUCCCUACACUUCCUUUUUAUUUUAUUUUCUUGUCCACUUUUGCUUUAUCUCAAAUUGGAGCAAAAAAGAUGGUAGCAAUUCCACACAAAAAAAAAAAAAAUCUAUUAUUAUUGCACGAUC
Rosa chinensis is the source of this 2260-nucleotide RNA transcript. RefSeq lists it as uncharacterized. NCBI's taxonomy places the organism in Eukaryota, Viridiplantae, Streptophyta, Magnoliopsida, Rosales, Rosaceae. The transcript has 4 exons. The record is from RefSeq and is a predicted model, not a curated record.